AGUGAACGCUGGCGGUAUGCCUAACACAUGCAAGUCGAACGGCAGCACAGUAAGAGCUUGCUCUUACGGUUGGCGAGUGGCGGACGGGUGAGGAAUACAUCGGAAUCUACUUUUUCUUGGGGGAUAACGUAGAGAAACUUACGCUAAUACCGCAUACGACCUACGGGUGAAAGCAGGAGAUCUUCGGACCUUUCGCGAUUGAAUGAGCCGAUGUCGGAUUAGCUAGUUGGCGGGGUAAAGGCCCACCAAGGCGACGAUCCGUAGCUGGUCUGAGAGGAUGAUCAGCCACACUGGAACUGAGACACGGUCCAGACUCCUACGGGAGGCAGCAGUGGGGAAUAUUGGACAAUGGGCGAAAGCCUGAUCCAGCCAUACCGCGUGGGUGAAGAAGGCCUUCGGGUUGUAAAGCCCUUUUGUUGGGAAAGAACAGCAGCAGGUUAAUCCCCCGCUGUUCUGACGGUACCCAAAGAAUAAGCACCGGCUAACUUCGUG
RNAcentral lists this ribosomal RNA (492 nucleotides) under uncultured bacterium. RNAcentral describes it as "partial 16S ribosomal RNA". It matches the Rfam family "Bacterial small subunit ribosomal RNA", at positions 29 to 507 of the family's 1533-position model. The record is from RNAcentral.